GGGUUGUGAGGUUAAGCGACUAAGCGUACACGGUGGAUGCCCUGGCAGUCAGAGGCGAUGAAGGACGUGCUAAUCUGCGAAAAGCGCCGGUAAGGUGAUAUGAACCGUUAUAGCCGGCGAUGUCCGAAUGGGGAAACCCAGUGUGACUCGUCACACUAUCAUUAACUGAAUCCAUAGGUUAAUGAGGCGAACCGGGGGAACUGAAACAUCUAAGUACCCCGAGGAAAAGAAAUCAACCGAGAUUCCCCCAGUAGCGGCGAGCGAACGGGGAGGAGCCCAGAGCCUGAAUCAGCUUGUGUGUUAGUGGAAGCGUCUGGAAAGUCGCGCGAUACAGGGUGACAGCCCCGUACACAAAAGCACACAGGCUGUGAGCUCGAUGAGUAGGGCGGGACACGUGGUAUCCUGUCUGAAUAUGGGGGGACCAUCCUCCAAGGCUAAAUACUCCUGACUGACCGAUAGUGAACCAGUACCGUGAGGGAAAGGCGAAAAGAACCCCGGCGAGGGGAGUGAAAAAGAACCUGAAACCGUGUACGUACAAGCAGUGGGAGCCUCUUAAUGGGGUGACUGCGUACCUUUUGUAUAAUGGGUCAGCGACUUAUAUUCUGUAGCAAGGUUAACCGAAUAGGGGAGCCGAAGGGAAACCGAGUCUUAACUGGGCGUUAAGUUGCAGGGUAUAGACCCGAAACCCGGUGAUCUAGCCAUGGGCAGGUUGAAGGUUGGGUAACACUAACUGGAGGACCGAACCGACUAAUGUUGAAAAAUUAGCGGAUGACCUGUGGCUGGGGGUGAAAGGCCAAUCAAACCGGGAGAUAGCUGGUUCUCCCCGAAAGCUAUUUAGGUAGCGCCUCGUGAAUUCAUCUCCGGGGGUAGAGCACUGUUUCGGCUAGGGGGCCAUCCCGGCUUACCAACCCGAUGCAAACUACGAAUACCGGAGAAUGUUAUCACGGGAGACACACGGCGGGUGCUAACGUCCGUCGUGAAGAGGGAAACAACCCAGACCGCCAGCUAAGGUCCCAAAGUCAUGGUUAAGUGGGAAACGAUGUGGGAAGGCCCAGACAGCCAGGAUGUUGGCUUAGAAGCAGCCAUCAUUUAAAGAAAGCGUAAUAGCUCACUGGUCGAGUCGGCCUGCGCGGAAGAUGUAACGGGGCUAAACCAUGCACCGAAGCUGCGGCAGCGACACUGUGUGUUGUUGGGUAGGGGAGCGUUCUGUAAGCCUGCGAAGGUGGCCUGUGAGGGUUGCUGGAGGUAUCAGAAGUGCGAAUGCUGACAUAAGUAACGAUAAAGCGGGUGAAAAGCCCGCUCGCCGGAAGACCAAGGGUUCCUGUCCAACGUUAAUCGGGGCAGGGUGAGUCGACCCCUAAGGCGAGGCCGAAAGGCGUAGUCGAUGGGAAACAGGUUAAUAUUCCUGUACUUGGUGUUACUGCGAAGGGGGGACGGAGAAGGCUAUGUUAGCCGGGCGACGGUUGUCCCGGUUUAAGCGUGAAGGUGUGUGCUCCAGGCAAAUCCGGAGUGCUUUAACACUGAGGCGUGAUGACGAGGCACUACGGUGCUGAAGUAACAAAUGCCCUGCUUCCAGGAAAAGCCUCUAAGCAUCAGGUAACACGAAAUCGUACCCCAAACCGACACAGGUGGUCAGGUAGAGAAUACCAAGGCGCUUGAGAGAACUCGGGUGAAGGAACUAGGCAAAAUGGUGCCGUAACUUCGGGAGAAGGCACGCUGAUAUGUAGGUGAAGCGACUUGCUCGUGGAGCUGAAAUCAGUCGAAGAUACCAGCUGGCUGCAACUGUUUAUUAAAAACACAGCACUGUGCAAACACGAAAGUGGACGUAUACGGUGUGACGCCUGCCCGGUGCCGGAAGGUUAAUUGAUGGGGUCAUCCGUAAGGAGAAGCUCUUGAUCGAAGCCCCGGUAAACGGCGGCCGUAACUAUAACGGUCCUAAGGUAGCGAAAUUCCUUGUCGGGUAAGUUCCGACCUGCACGAAUGGCGUAAUGAUGGCCAGGCUGUCUCCACCCGAGACUCAGUGAAAUUGAACUCGCUGUGAAGAUGCAGUGUACCCGCGGCAAGACGGAAAGACCCCGUGAACCUUUACUAUAGCUUGACACUGAACACUGGUCCUUGAUGUGUAGGAUAGGUGGGAGGCUUUGAAGCGUGGACGCCAGUCUGCGUGGAGCCAUCCUUGAAAUACCACCCUUUAAUGGCUGGUGUUCUAACGUGGACCCGUGAUCCGGGUUGCGGACAGUGUCUGGUGGGUAGUUUGACUGGGGCGGUCUCCUCCUAAAGCGUAACGGAGGAGCACGAAGGUCAGCUAAUCCUGGUCGGACAUCAGGAGGUUAGUGCAAUGGCAUAAGCUGGCUUGACUGCGAGCGUGACGGCGCGAGCAGGUGCGAAAGCAGGUCAUAGUGAUCCGGUGGUUCUGAAUGGAAGGGCCAUCGCUCAACGGAUAAAAGGUACUCCGGGGAUAACAGGCUGAUACCGCCCAAGAGUUCAUAUCGACGGCGGUGUUUGGCACCUCGAUGUCGGCUCAUCACAUCCUGGGGCUGAAGUAGGUCCCAAGGGUAUGGCUGUUCGCCAUUUAAAGUGGUACGCGAGCUGGGUUUAGAACGUCGUGAGACAGUUCGGUCCCUAUCUGCCGUGGGCGCUGGAGAAUUGAGGGGGGCUGCUCCUAGUACGAGAGGACCGGAGUGGACGCAUCACUGGUGUUCGGGUUGUCAUGCCAAUGGCACUGCCCGGUAGCUAAAUGCGGAAGAGAUAAGUGCUGAAAGCAUCUAAGCACGAAACUUGCCCCGAGAUGAGUUCUCCCUGAGACUUUAAGUCUCCUGAAGGAACGUUGAAGACGACGACGUUGAUAGGCCGGGUGUGUAAGCGCAGCGAUGCGUUGAGCUAACCGGUACUAAUGAACCGUGAGGCUUAACCUUACAACGCCGAAG
RNAcentral lists this ribosomal RNA (2927 nucleotides) under Kosakonia sacchari. RNAcentral's name for it is "bacterial LSU rRNA". It matches the Rfam family "Bacterial large subunit ribosomal RNA". The record is from RNAcentral. Lineage: Bacteria; Pseudomonadati; Pseudomonadota; Gammaproteobacteria; Enterobacterales; Enterobacteriaceae.